RNAcentral lists this transfer RNA (72 nucleotides) under Candidatus Micrarchaeum acidiphilum ARMAN-2. It matches the Rfam family "tRNA". Rfam says of the family: Transfer RNA (tRNA) molecules are approximately 80 nucleotides in length. The record is from Rfam by way of RNAcentral. RNAcentral also lists the same sequence under 1 other name. Lineage: Archaea; Nanobdellati; Microcaldota; Candidatus Micrarchaeia; Candidatus Micrarchaeales; Candidatus Micrarchaeaceae.
GGGCUCUUAGCUCAGGAGUAGAGCGCCUCGUUCGCAACGAGGAGGCCGCGGGUGCGAAUCCCGCAGGGUCCA